This 118-nucleotide ribosomal RNA is filed under the name Forficulidae sp. CH-2014. Its description in RNAcentral is "partial 16S ribosomal RNA". The record is from RNAcentral. Lineage: Eukaryota; Metazoa; Arthropoda; Insecta; Dermaptera; Forficulidae.
AAGAUUCCAAAGGUCGAACAGACCCAAAACUCCAAGCUUCUACACCUGGAUUUUACUCUUAAUUCAACAUCGAGGUCGCAAUCUCUUUUGUCGAUGUGUACUCUCAAAAAAAAUUACG